Molecule: long non-coding RNA, 154 nt
Organism: Neodiprion fabricii
Lineage: Eukaryota; Metazoa; Arthropoda; Insecta; Hymenoptera; Diprionidae
Exons: 3
Source: RefSeq, a predicted model, not a curated record
GUCGAAAAAAAGCAUUUUUUUCUCCGAAGGAAAAUUUCCGUAAGUAUGCGUGUGUGUGUGUGUGUGUGUGUAUGUGACAAAAAUAGUUGUACGCUCUGUAACUUCCGUAAAUUUCAACCGAUGGUUAUAAUUUUUUUUGCACAAAUUGGGUAGC